UAGUUUUCACGAGGGGAUGGUGUAGUAUCCUAGUCGGGGCGACCAUCUUCGAAGACGGGCCUAAAAAUCCGUUGCGGGCACAUCGAUGAAGUCCCUGGUGCUGGCUGCCGACGCCCAGUCGGGGGUUGGUGCUGGGGGUUAAGGGGAUGGGGCGAUCCACAAUGGCAUGUGGGCGUAGACCCCACCACCGUGGAGGCCCAAGUGCGUGGGGAUCCCGUUGUUAAAACGAAGCGUGAACUACGGCUUGGGGGUAAACCUGCAUAUGGUACGGGUCUUUUGUACUUAGUAUCGGUGCAGUGUAGCCUGCCUUGAGCGGGUUGGGAGGAUAUGGGUAAUCAAGCCGCCAAAGUUCUGCAGAACCAGGCGACUCUCUGCCAUUUGAAACCCAACGCCGCAAAAGAGGCUAGAAGAUGACUCGUUCUGUGGAGGAAAACUCCUAGGCUAUUCGAUUUUUCGAAUUUCACCGGGGAUUGCAGUGUGGACUCAGUGGUAAUCCAGUCCUGUUGUUGGCGACGAAACAGAGAGACCAUAAAGGGAAACCGCCGCUUCGGCGACGAAACGGAGGUCUCUGGGAAAACCUACUGGACCUAAGCCACAAUUUUUACUCGGCGGAUACCAUCCCCUCUUACAUAUUC
RNAcentral lists this small RNA (635 nucleotides) under Hydrogenispora ethanolica. Lineage: Bacteria; Bacillati; Bacillota. The record is from RNAcentral.